This 1665-nucleotide long non-coding RNA is filed under the name Androctonus crassicauda. The record is from RNAcentral. Lineage: Eukaryota; Metazoa; Arthropoda; Arachnida; Scorpiones; Buthidae.
AAAACUUUCAUUUAUUGUAUAAUAUUAGCACCUCAAGAACAUUGAAGAAAUUGAAUUCAAACUCUAAAGGCAAAACCACUGGAAAACAGAAAAAAGUAAAAUUAUAAACUGCUUUCAUGCAAACAACUCAUCUAGCAGAUUGCAUUUCAAAAAGUUAUGUUGAACAUAGGCAUAUGAAACUAUUUUUUAUAUUAGGAUGAGCCCCAGGAAAUAGGCUUGUACAAUAAGAUGCAUGCAUGCAUGAAUAGAUAGAUGUAUAGUAAUACAAAAUAAAAAAUGUACAGUAGAAGAAACAUGUUUUAAUACAUUACCUACUUUUUAAGAUGUUAGAAGUGACCUCCUUAUCCUUAAGACACUUCUGAGUCUGUCAGUAUGUUUUAGUAAAAUGUCUGCAACACUGUAGCAUCAAUGCCCACAAUAGCAUUACAAAUAUUCAUCUAUAAUUCCUGAAAAAUGUGUUGGUGGGUUUUUUUCAUAAAUUUUCCCCUUUAGAUAUCUCAAAGAUAAAAGACAUGUGGAAAGAUAUAGGGAAUAUAGAGGCAAUAAAUCUUUGCUAACAGUUCAUCCAUCUGGGAAUGCUUCAUGAAUUCAAGCUCACACUUUUCUGAAAAUAUUGCAAGUUGCCCCAUCUUGUUGAAAAGUGUACUAUUCCCACUCUUCAAUGGCUAAUUGCAAUUAAAGGCUUUCAAAUAUUGCCAGGUACAUGUCUGUGUUGACAGUCAUCUCAAAGAUGAAUCCUAUGAUCCAUCAUGCAAAUACUAAUACUGUACAUCACACACUGAUUUUUUUCAUCAUGAAAUAGUUCUUUGCAGAGUAGGUGGAAAUUUUCAGUUGCUCAGUACCUUGUGAUUUGAAUGUUGAGAUGUCUAGAUAAAUGAAACAAGGCUUCAUCAGACAUAAAAUAGUGAGUUGGACUGAGCAUCCCAUCAAUGAUGCUACUGAAGAGCCAUGUAAGGUAUUCUGUGUUUCAUUUGUAGUUUUCAUUCUUGCAUGCAUGUUUUACAAUACAGUUUCAACUAUAGAGUGCAUUACACAUACAUAUGUUGUGAGAUUUGAACUGAUUUUCCAGGUACUUUUCUUAAGAUUUUACUUCAUCCUUUUGUAGAUAUUUCAAAUUAAAGUUGGGAUUCAAAUAGAUGAGGCUCAGUUCUUUUUUGCAUUGAGGACUCUUCCUAUUUUGUGCCACUUCUUCAGUUGCUAUAUAUAGCACUUUGCUGGUAUCUUGGCAGUGGGAAAACUGUUCCAUAAAUAUUCUGUAUGUUUCUUAAAUAAACUUUUAAUCUUAUAUUCCUCAACAAUGGCAAUUCUUUCUAGCAUAGAAUAAGGCAUGAUGUAGAAAACACAGAUUGAGUGACACAAAGAAAAACAAUCAUACACAUGAUACAAGCUGGGUUAUGUCUUCAGGUAACUAGUUGUGGGUUGAUUGGCUAUUAGUUCUUCAUUGCAUGGACUGGAGCAGCAGGCUACUUUUCUGUGACUCACCCUAUAGUUUGUUGUUGUAAUUCAUUUGUAUUGACUCUUAAAUAAUGCAAAAUACUGAAAAAUAAAUAGUGUUUGCUUAACAAUUGCUUAAAUAAAAUAAAGAUGAAUCAAAUAAAGUCACAAUAUUAGAUGUUUUGCUUGGUAAAUUCAAUGCUAUAAAAAAUACUGUUUUAAAGAAAGAAU